RNAcentral lists this ribosomal RNA (253 nucleotides) under uncultured bacterium. RNAcentral describes it as "partial 16S ribosomal RNA". It matches the Rfam family "Bacterial small subunit ribosomal RNA", at positions 524 to 776 of the family's 1533-position model. The record is from RNAcentral.
UACAGAGGGUGCGAGCGUUAAUCGGAAUUACUGGGCGUAAAGCGCACGUAGGUGGCGACGUAAGUCGGGUGCGAAAGCCCCGGGCUCAACCUGGGAAUUGCAUUCGAGACUGCAUUGCUGGAGUACGGAAGAGGAGGGCGGAAUUCCCGGUGUAGCGGUGAAAUGCGUAGAUAUCGGGAGGAACAUCAGUGGCGAAGGCGGCCCUCUGGUCCAGUACUGACACUCAAGUGCGAAAGCGUGGGGAGCAAACAGG